This 1416-nucleotide ribosomal RNA is filed under the name uncultured bacterium. Its description in RNAcentral is "partial 16S ribosomal RNA". It matches the Rfam family "Bacterial small subunit ribosomal RNA". The record is from RNAcentral.
AGAGUUUGAUCCUGGCUCAGGACGAACGCUGGCGGCGUGCUUAACACAUGCAAGUCGAACGAAAAGAGGGAAAGAGCUUGCUCUUUCCGGAAUUGAGUGGCAAACGGGUGAGUAACACGUAAACAACCUGCCUUCAGGAUGGGGACAACAGACGGAAACGACUGCUAAUACCGAAUAAGUUCCAAGAGCCGCAUGGCCCAUGGAAGAAAAGGUGGCCUCUACCUGUAAGCUAUCGCCUGAAGAGGGGUUUGCGUCUGAUUAGCUGGUUGGAGGGGUAACGGCCCACCAAGGCGACGAUCAGUAGCCGGUCUGAGAGGAUGAACGGCCACACUGGAACUGAGACACGGUCCAGACUCCUACGGGAGGCAGCAGUGGGGAAUCUUCCGCAAUGGGCGAAAGCCUGACGGAGCAACGCCGCGUGAGUGAUGACGGCCUUCGGGUUGUAAAACUCUGUGAUCCGGGACGAAAAGGCAGAGUGCGAAGAACAAACUGCAUUGACUGUACCUGCAGAAGAAGCCCCGGCUAACUACGUGCCAGCAGCCGCGGUAAUACGUAGGGGGCGAGCGUUAUCCGGAUUCAUUGGGCGUAAAGCGCGCGUAGGCGGCCCGGCAGGCCGGGGGUCGAAGCGGGGGGCUCAACCCCCCGAAGCCCCCGGAACCUCCGCGGCUUGGGUCCGGUAGGGGAGGGUGGAACACCCGGUGUAGCGGUGGAAUGCGCAGAUAUCGGGUGGAACACCGGUGGCGAAGGCGGCCCUCUGGGCCGAGACCGACGCUGAGGCGCGAAAGCUGGGGGAGCGAACAGGAUUAGAUACCCUGGUAGUCCCAGCCGUAAACGAUGGACGCUAGGUGUGGGGGGAUGAUCCCCCCGUGCCGCAGCCAACGCAUUAAGCGUCCCGCCUGGGGAGUACGGCCGCAAGGCUAAAACUCAAAGGAAUUGACGGGGGCCCGCACAAGCAGUGGAGUAUGUGGUUUAAUUCGACGCAACGCGAAGAACCUUACCAGGUCUUGACAUCAAGUGACCGCCUAAGAGAUUAGGCUUUCCCUUCGGGGACACAAAGACAGGUGGUGCAUGGUUGUCGUCAGCUCGUGUCGUGAGAUGUUGGGUUAAGUCCCGCAACGAGCGCAACCCUUAUCAUUAGUUGCUACGCAAGAGCACUCUAAUGAGACUGCCGUUGACAAAACGGAGGAAGGUGGGGAUGACGUCAAAUCAUCAUGCCCUUUAUGACCUGGGCUACACACGUACUACAAUGGCGUUUAACAAAGAGAAGCAAAGCCGCGAGGCAGAGCAAAUCUCCAAAAAACGUCUCAGUUCGGAUUGUAGGCUGCAACUCGCCUACAUGAAGUCGGAAUUGCUAGUAAUCGUAGGUCAGCAUACUACGGUGAAUACGUUCCCGGGCCUUGCACACACCGCCCGUCA